UCGGGAAUCUUGGACAAUGGGCGCAAGCCUGAUCCAGCCAUGCCGCGUGGAUGAUGAAGGCCUUAGGGUUGUAAAAUCCUUUCGUGGGGGACGAUAAUGACGGUACCCCAAGAAGAAGCUCCGGCUAACUUCGUGCCAGCAGCCGCGGUAAUACGAAGGGGGCUAGCGUUGUUCGGAUUUACUGGGCGUAAAGCGCGUGUAGGCGGGUCGUUAAGUUGGGGGUGAAAUCCCGAGGCUCAACCUCGGAACUGCCUUCAAAACUGGCGACCUGGACCCAAGUAGAGGCAAGUGGAAUUGCGAGUGUAGAGGUGAAAUUCGUAGAUAUUCGCAGGAACACCAGUGGCGAAGGCGACUUGCUGGACUUGUGGUGACGCUGAGACGCGAAAGCGUGGGGAGCAAACAGGAUUAGAUACCCCGGUAGUCCCUGAGCGGGCUGGCAAGGCGCAU
Molecule: ribosomal RNA, 447 nt
Filed under: uncultured bacterium
Lineage: Bacteria
Description: bacterial SSU rRNA
Rfam family: Bacterial small subunit ribosomal RNA
Source: RNAcentral